This 460-nucleotide ribosomal RNA is filed under the name uncultured bacterium. RNAcentral describes it as "partial 16S ribosomal RNA". It matches the Rfam family "Bacterial small subunit ribosomal RNA", at positions 338 to 795 of the family's 1533-position model. The record is from RNAcentral.
CCUACGGGUGGCAGCAGUGAGGAAUAUUGGUCAAUGGACGAGAGUCUGAACCAGCCAAGUAGCGUGAAGGAUGACUGCCCUAUGGGUUGUAAACUUCUUUUAUAUGGGAAUAAAAUGUUCCACGUGUGGGAUUUUGUAUGUACCAUAUGAAUAAGGAUCGGCUAACUCCGUGCCAGCAGCCGCGGUAAUACGGAGGAUCCGAGUGUUAUCCGGAUUUAUUGGGUUUAAAGGGAGCGUAGGUGGAUUGUUAAGUCAGUUGUGAAAGUUUGCGGCUCAACCGUAAAAUUGCAGUUGAAACUGGCAGUCUUGAGUACAGUAGAGGUGGGCGGAAUUCGUGGUGUAGCGGUGAAAUGCUUAGAUAUCACGAAGAACUCCGAUUGCGAAGGCAGUUCACUGGACUUCAACUGACACUGAGGCUCGAAAGUGUGGGUAUCAAACAGGAUUAGAUACCCUAGUAGUC